AGCCACAAGCACCAGUCAGUUCUAAAGAGCCAACUGAAACACAAAGUUAUAAUUGCUAGCUUGUGUGAAGACAUGCUUUUCUCCUUCCAUUCUUGUUUACAGUUACCUGAACCAAUGUCACUUUCAGAUGCGCAGGACAAUGCUGACUAUAGAUUAUUUCAGAAAAUACUCAAAUUGUGUCGUUUGCCAUUUCCCUUUUGCACUACAUAAAGGGAUGCAAGUGAAAUGGGGAAAAGUAUGAUGAGAAGCCAGUCACUAUGUCUCCAGUGAAAAUUAUAAUGUUCACAAGAAAAGAUGUAGAUUUGUUUUUUUUUUGUACCGGGGAUCAAACUUGGAUCCUUGCACUUGCGCAGCAGGCGGUGAAACCACUGAGCUAAAUCCCGGGCCCAAGAUGU
RNAcentral lists this long non-coding RNA (395 nucleotides) under Heterocephalus glaber (naked mole-rat). Its description in RNAcentral is "lncRNA (ENSHGLG00000049104.1)". The record is from RNAcentral. Lineage: Eukaryota; Metazoa; Chordata; Mammalia; Rodentia; Bathyergidae.